ACUCAAAUGAAUUGACGGGGGCCCGCACAAGCAGCGGAGCGUGUGGUUUAAUUCGAGGCUACACGAAGAACCUUACCUGGGGUUGACAUGUAUCUAGUAGGGAAGCGAAAGCGGACCGACCCGUAAGGGAGGAUACACAGGUGCUGCAUGGCUGUCGUCAGCUCGUGCCGUGAGGUGUUAGGUUAAGUCCUGUAACGAGCGCAACCCUCGGGUCUAGUUACACGUAAUCUAGACCGACUGCCCGUGACAAGCGGGAGGAAGGUGGGGAUGACGUCAAGUCAGCAUGGCCUUUAUCUCCAGGGCUACACACACGCUACAAUGGCCGGUACAAUGGGUCGCCAAGCAGCAAUGCGGAGCCAAUCCAAGCAAAGCCGGUCGUAGUUCGGAUUGUGGGCUGCAACCCGCCCACAUGAAGUCGGAGUUGCUAGUAACCGCGCAUCAGCCAUGGCGCGGUGAAUACGUUCCCGGGCCUUGUACACACCGCCCGU
Molecule: ribosomal RNA, 488 nt
Filed under: uncultured bacterium
Lineage: Bacteria
Description: partial 16S ribosomal RNA
Rfam family: Bacterial small subunit ribosomal RNA
Source: RNAcentral